UACGAAGGGGGCUAGCGUUGUUCGGAAUUACUGGGCGUAAAGGGCGCGCAGGCGGUCGUUCAAGUCGAGUGUGAAAGCCCCCGGCUCAACUGGGGAGGGUCAUUCGAUACUGAUCGACUCGAAGGCAGGAGAGGGUAGUGGAAUUCCCGGUGUAGUGGUGAAAUGCGUAGAUAUCGGGAGGAACACCAGUGGCGAAGGCGACUACCUGGCCUGUUCUUGACGCUGAGGCGCGAAAGCUAGGGGAGCAAACGGG
Molecule: ribosomal RNA, 253 nt
Filed under: uncultured bacterium
Lineage: Bacteria
Description: partial 16S ribosomal RNA
Rfam family: Bacterial small subunit ribosomal RNA
Source: RNAcentral